This 450-nucleotide ribosomal RNA is filed under the name uncultured bacterium. Its description in RNAcentral is "partial 16S ribosomal RNA". It matches the Rfam family "Bacterial small subunit ribosomal RNA", at positions 338 to 795 of the family's 1533-position model. The record is from RNAcentral.
CCUACGGGUGGCUGCAGUGGGGAAUUUUGGACAAUGGGGGCAACCCUGAUCCAGCCAUUCCGCGUGAGUGAAGAAGGCCUUCGGGUUGUAAAGCUCUUUCGGCCGGGAAGAAAUCGCAUCUCCUAAUACGGGGUGUGGAUGACGGUACCGGAAGAAGAAGCACCGGCUAACUACGUGCCAGCAGCCGCGGUAAUACGUAGGGUGCGAGCGUGGCUCGGAAUGACUGGGCGCGGCUCACGCGCAGGGGUGUGAAAUCCCCGGGCUUAACCUGGGAACUGCGUUUGUGACUGGUUGGCUUGAGUGCGGCAGAGGGGGGUGGAAUUCCACGUGUAGCAGUGAAAUGCGUAGAGAUGUGGAGGAACACCGAUGGCGAAGGCAGCCCCCUGGGUCGACACUGACGCUCAUGCACGAAAGCGUGGGGAGCAAACAGGAUUAGAUACCCCUGUAGUC